This 242-nucleotide ribosomal RNA is filed under the name uncultured bacterium. Its description in RNAcentral is "partial 16S ribosomal RNA". It matches the Rfam family "Bacterial small subunit ribosomal RNA", at positions 30 to 279 of the family's 1533-position model. The record is from RNAcentral.
UUGAACGCUGGCGGCAUGCCUUACACAUGCAAGUCGAACGGUAGAGGGGCAACCCUUGAGAGUGGCGAACGGGUGAGUAAUGCAUCGGAACGUGCCCAGUCGUGGGGGAUAACGCAGCGAAAGCUGUGCUAAUACCGCAUGUGAUCUGUGGGUGAAAGCAGGGGACCGCAAGGCCUUGUGCGAUUGGAGCGGCCGAUGUCAGAUUAGCUAGUUGGUAGGGUAAAAGCCUACCAAGGCGACGA